UAAUACAGAGGGUGCGAGCGUUAAUCGGAAUUACUGGGCGUAAAGCGUGCGUAGACGGUUAUGUAAGUCGGGUGUGAAAGCCCCGGGCUCAACCUGGGAAUUGCAUUCGAGACUGCAUAGCUAGGGUGCGGAAGAGGGAAGCGGAAUUUUCGGUGUAGCGGUGAAAUGCGUAGAUAUCGGAAAGAACAUCAGUGGCGAACGCGGCUUCCUGGUCCAGCACCGACGUUCAGGCACGAA
RNAcentral lists this ribosomal RNA (237 nucleotides) under uncultured bacterium. RNAcentral describes it as "partial 16S ribosomal RNA". It matches the Rfam family "Bacterial small subunit ribosomal RNA", at positions 521 to 757 of the family's 1533-position model. The record is from RNAcentral.